This 348-nucleotide transfer-messenger RNA is filed under the name Acutalibacteraceae. Its description in RNAcentral is "UMGS1976 sp900769535 Standard tmRNA". It matches the Rfam family "transfer-messenger RNA". From Rfam's summary of the family: Bacterial tmRNA, also known as 10Sa RNA or SsrA, is named for its dual tRNA and mRNA-like properties. Its role is to liberate the mRNA from a stalled ribosome. To accomplish this part of the tmRNA is used as a reading frame that ends in a translation stop signal. RNAcentral also lists the same sequence under 1 other name. Lineage: Bacteria; Bacillati; Bacillota; Clostridia; Eubacteriales. The record is from RNAcentral.
GGGGGCGUAAAGGUUUCGACGGGGAUUUUGAGACACGAUAAGCGAGUAGUGGCGCGGACCCACUUUAAAAGCCGCAACUUUAAAAUUAAACGACAACAAUACUGUUGCCUACGCUGCCUAAUUAGGCGGCCGUCCGACCUGAGAGCACCGCGGCUCAGCAAGGGCGUCGAUUAGCGGUGAACGUGAACCGAUGAGCUCCUCGUAAUCGGUCAUGAAUUCAGGGGAUACCGAGCGCAUAGGCCUGACGGCUGGCGUAUGCGCGAGGGAAACUCGGUAAACCGUCUGCACUCGGAGAAGGUCGUGAGGAUGAGUUUUCGGACAGGGGUUCAAUUCCCCUCGCCUCCACCA